This 468-nucleotide ribosomal RNA is filed under the name uncultured bacterium. Its description in RNAcentral is "partial 16S ribosomal RNA". It matches the Rfam family "Bacterial small subunit ribosomal RNA", at positions 28 to 507 of the family's 1533-position model. The record is from RNAcentral.
GACGAACGCUGGCGGCGUGCUUAACACGUGCAAGUCGAACGGAAAGGCCCUGCUUUUGUGGGGUGCUCGAGUGGCGAACGGGUGAGUAACACGUGAGUAACCUGCCCUUGACUUUGGGAUAACUUCAGGAAACUGGGGCUAAUACCGGAUAGGAGCUCCUGCUGCAUGGUGGGGGUUGGAAAGUUUCGGCGGUUGAGGAUGGACUCGCGGCUUAUCAGCUUGUUGGUGGGGUAGUGGCUUACCAAGGCUUUGACGGGUAGCCGGCCUGAGAGGGUGACCGGCCACAUUGGGACUGAGAUACGGCCCAGACUCCUACGGGAGGCAGCAGUGGGGAAUAUUGCACAAUGGGCGGAAGCCUGAUGCAGCAACGCCGCGUGCGGGAUGACGGCCUUCGGGUUGUAAACCGCUUUCGCCUGUGACGAAGCGUGAGUGACGGUAAUGGGUAAAGAAGCACCGGCUAACUACGUG